AUUUCGCGUAAAUAAACAUUUUUGACAUCCCUACCUAAUGGUCAGUGUUAAGAAGCGGACACCAUUUCAUACAUAAAACCAAAAUUUCGUAGCUUAAACGACGCAUAGCAACUGCUCGAAGGAUCACUCUAAUCAACCCAUUUAAUUACUGAAUAUAUAGCCCUUUUUAAUUAAAUCAAUGAUUAUCCAACAAAAGCUCAACUUCAAAACAAGAAUUACCUGAUACUAAUUAUUUUCAUUUUCACGACAUCUAUUUAAGUCAACAGUCAUGCAAGGCUAGAAACUUUGUUUUUCUUAUUUAUCAAAAGGGCCUCCAGCAAAGAGUCGAAAGGGACUUUUAAGUUUCUUCGAAUAUUACUCAUACGACCUGUAUUACAAACUUUCUUUUACCCCUCUACGUCGCACUCCCCCCACUCUCACUCGCACUCGCAUUCUCCCUCCCCCUCGCCACCUGCUGCCCUCUCACCCGCCCCCG
Long non-coding RNA from Drosophila ananassae, 475 nucleotides. RefSeq lists it as uncharacterized. Lineage: Eukaryota; Metazoa; Arthropoda; Insecta; Diptera; Drosophilidae. The record is from RefSeq and is a predicted model, not a curated record. The transcript is spliced from 3 exons.